Molecule: ribosomal RNA, 497 nt
Filed under: uncultured bacterium
Lineage: Bacteria
Description: partial 16S ribosomal RNA
Rfam family: Bacterial small subunit ribosomal RNA
Source: RNAcentral
GAUGAACGCUGGCGGCGUGCCUAAUACAUGCAAGUCGAGCGAACAGACGAGGAGCUUGCUCCUCUGACGUUAGCGGCGGACGGGUGAGUAACACGUGGAUAACCUACCUAUAAGACUGGGAUAACUUCGGGAAACCGGAGCUAAUACCGGAUAAUAUAUUGAACCGCAUGGUUCAAUAGUGAAAGACGGUUUUGCUGUCACUUAUAGAUGGAUCCGCGCCGCAUUAGCUAGUUGGUAAGGUAACGGCUUACCAAGGCAACGAUGCGUAGCCGACCUGACAGGGUGAUCGGCCACACGGGAACUGAGACACGGUCCAGACUCCUACGGGAGGCAGCAGUAGGGAAUCUUCCGCAAUGGGCGAAAGCCUGACGGAGCAACGCCGCGUGAGUGAUGAAGGUCUUCGGAUCGUAAAACUCUGUUAUUAGGGAAGAACAAAUGUGUAAGUAACUAUGCACGUCUUGACGGUACCUAAUCAGAAAGCCACGGCUAACUACGUG